Long non-coding RNA from Fundulus heteroclitus (mummichog), 983 nucleotides. RefSeq lists it as uncharacterized. Lineage: Eukaryota; Metazoa; Chordata; Actinopteri; Cyprinodontiformes; Fundulidae. The transcript is spliced from 2 exons. The record is from RefSeq and is a predicted model, not a curated record.
ACCUCCCCCGCCAAGCAGCAGCAGCAGCAGCAGCAACAACAGCAGCAGCUCCCUCAUCAGCCAGUACGCAACCUCCACCAAUCUGGCUUCAGCCUGUCCGGCGCCCAGAUUGACGACAACGUUCCCCGUCGUACCACUCAACGUAUCGUGGCACCCCCUGGUGGGAAAGCAAACAUCACCAGCCUUGGUUAAGCCGCUUUCCCUCGAUUGAGCCGCGGGGAGGAACAUGGGAGCAGGAUCCACGGUUACCACAAUCACUCCUGGCUCCCCUGCAUCCCUUCUGUCCAUUUUUACUCUCACCACCUCCACCAUGUCACCUCAUUCAAGGAAGAGAAAAAAACCAUGUUGUUUCAUGCCUCCUGCCACAUUCCUGUAUCGACGUAGGAGAAAGGGAAUUUAGGAUUUUUUUUUUAUGCACAUCCAUUUGAAUUUUGAUGAUUUCAGUUGUCUACAUAGUUUUAUAAUGUCUGCUCUACACGUUAAAGCUGUUCCAAGAAUAGAUCAGAACGCUAGACAAAAGCUUAAGGCCAGGGGAGUCAGUUUUAUGACAUUUUAACAGCAACAAAUGUUCAGUUUUGUGUUGUUCUUAUUGCAGAUGAUUGAAUGUUCUGAUGACUGCGUAGCAGAAAGCGCUUUUGGCCAGAAAAAGCACCGGCCUGUCCACGUAAAAAUACUCUCGACUCUUGAUAAAAGACGGAAGCAAAAGAGUUUUAAUGGCGUAGGUCAGAAAACAGCGACCCACGUCUAUAGUAUGACGUCUUUGUUUUGCCAAGAAAUCACCAAACUAAUUUGGUGCGUAUAAAAGUAUAAAGUUAACAGCAGUAUGAUCAAGUGAUCAACAUUCGUUUUUGAGCCUGGGUACAGCUGGAGCUGAGCAGCGUGGAUCCUUACUUGGAUCCGCUCGGAUACAUUUCCUUUUUUUUAGACCAUGUUAUGCUGCACUGUCGACGAGGCAUGGGCUGGCAUGAGUUAUAGCCUUCGGG